AGAGCGAUAGGCUUUUAACCUAUUGGUCAUGGGUUCGACUCCCAUUCA
This 48-nucleotide transfer RNA is filed under the name Hanusia phi. RNAcentral's name for it is "partial tRNA". It matches the Rfam family "tRNA", at positions 20 to 64 of the family's 71-position model. Rfam says of the family: Transfer RNA (tRNA) molecules are approximately 80 nucleotides in length. Lineage: Eukaryota; Cryptophyceae; Pyrenomonadales; Geminigeraceae. The record is from RNAcentral.